RNAcentral lists this ribosomal RNA (497 nucleotides) under uncultured bacterium. RNAcentral describes it as "partial 16S ribosomal RNA". It matches the Rfam family "Bacterial small subunit ribosomal RNA", at positions 28 to 507 of the family's 1533-position model. The record is from RNAcentral.
GAUGAACGCUGGCGGCGUGCCUAAUACAUGCAAGUCGAGCGAACAGACGAGGAGCUUGCUCCUCUGACGUUAGCGGCGGACGGGUGAGUAACACGUGGAUAACCUACCUAUAAGACUGGGAUAACUUCGGGAAACCGGAGCUAAUACCGGAUAACAUGUUGAACCGCAUGGUUCAACAGUGAAAGACGGUCUUGCUGUCACUUAUAGAUGGAUCCGCGCCGCAUUAGCUAGUUGGUAAGGUAACGGCUUACCAAGGCAACGAUGCGUAGCCGACAUGAGAGGGUGAUCAGCCACACUGGAACUGAGACACGGUCAAGACUACUACGGGAGGCAGCAGUAGGGAAUAUGCCGCAAUGGGCGAAAGCCUGACGGAGCAACGCCGCGUGAGUGAAGAAGGUCUUCGGAUCGUAAAACUCUGUUAUUAGGGAAGAACAAAUGUGUAAGUAAAUAUGCACGUCUUGACGGUACCUAAUCAGAAAGCCACGGCUAACUACGUG